GCCAGGUGCAGAGGCUCACAUCUGUAAUCCCAACUACUGUGGAGGCUGAGGCAGGAGGAUCGCAAGUUCAAGGCCAGCCUCGGCAACUUAGCAAGACUCUGUCUCAA
RNAcentral lists this small RNA (107 nucleotides) under Marmota monax (woodchuck). Lineage: Eukaryota; Metazoa; Chordata; Mammalia; Rodentia; Sciuridae. The record is from RNAcentral.